GGAGGUAUAGCUCAGUGGUAGAGUGCAUGCCUAGCACGCAUGAGGUCCUGGGUUCAAUUCCCAGUACCUCUA
RNAcentral lists this transfer RNA (72 nucleotides) under Camelus bactrianus (Bactrian camel). It matches the Rfam family "tRNA". Rfam says of the family: Transfer RNA (tRNA) molecules are approximately 80 nucleotides in length. Their secondary structure includes four short double-helical elements and three loops (D, anti-codon, and T loops). Further hydrogen bonds mediate the characteristic L-shaped molecular structure. tRNAs have two regions of fundamental functional importance: the anti-codon, which is responsible for specific mRNA codon recognition, and the 3' end, to which the tRNAs corresponding amino acid is attached (by aminoacyl-tRNA synthetases). tRNAs cope with the degeneracy of the genetic code in two manners: having more than one tRNA (with a specific anti-codon) for a particular amino acid; and 'wobble' base-pairing, i.e. permitting non-standard base-pairing at the 3rd anti-codon position. RNAcentral also lists the same sequence under 1 other name. The record is from Rfam by way of RNAcentral. Lineage: Eukaryota; Metazoa; Chordata; Mammalia; Artiodactyla; Camelidae.